Molecule: small RNA, 1564 nt
Filed under: Mycoplasmoides pneumoniae M129
Lineage: Bacteria; Bacillati; Mycoplasmatota; Mycoplasmoidales; Mycoplasmoidaceae
Description: Mycoplasma pneumoniae M129 ncRNA
Source: RNAcentral
AGUACGAUAUUGAGGUGUUUGUAAGCACAGUCCAAAAAGAGCUUGUACUUAUUGAAAAAGCGCAUAAAGGGAAUUAGCAAUUUUCAAGUUUAAAUUAUCUAACUUAUCGCUAAAAGUUUUAUCUAACUGUGCUUCAAAACCCAUUUCCUUAUUCAAAGUGGGGUGGAUAAAACUAAUUUGUUGCGCGUGUAAAUACUGGCCAUAUUCAGUAGCUUGCUCACUCUUCAAACCGUAUAAGGGAUCGUUGUAAACGGGGUGUUUAAUAAACUGCAAGUGUACCCUAAUUUGGUGAGUUCGUCCGGUUAACAGUUCACACUUAAUUAAAGCAGCCUUUUCGUUUUGGUUUAACACCGUAAACUUAGUAAAAGCAUUCUUGGCCUUGUUAGAACUGUUCCCCACCUUUCACAUGACCUUAUUGUUACCCACUCGUUCUAACGGGGCGCUAAUGGUACCAGACAAACUGUCUAGGGGAAAAUGGACUAAAGCUAAGUAAUAACGCUUCAUAACCCGUUGCUGGAGCUGUUUUUGCAAGUGCAGCAAGCUACUUUGGUUUUUCGCUAGCAUAAUCACACCACUCGUAUCACGGUCUAGGCGGUGGACUAAAAACACCGGUUGGUGGUUGCAGUGAAACAAAGCGGCACCCAGUAAACUUUCACUUUCAUUAAAACUAGUCGGGUGGCUAAUUAAACCAUUGGGUUUAUUGACCACCAUAAUUUGCUCAUCUUCAUAUAAGAUGUCCAAGGGAAAGUCAUAGGGCUGGACUUCAACUGGCACUUUUUCAAACAGUUCCUCACUCCAAUUAACGUGUACCCGGUCUUCUGGUUGCACUAAUCAACCAUUUUUAGUAAUUUUUUUACCGUUAACACUCACCAAACCAUCGACAAUUAACUUGGCUACUUUAACCCGGGAAAGGUUGAGUAGUGUGGCCAAAAAGGUAUCUAAGCGUUGGGCUGUAGUAACACUAAAAGUUUGUUCCAUUAAGAUUUAGUUUGCUUCAUUUCUUUGAAGAACUGAAUUAAAAAGGAGAGGAACAGACCAAUAAAACUAAAGGUAAUGCAACAGUCCGCUAAGUUAAACACGGAAUUACCUCCACUAAAGACAAAGUAAUCUAGUACUUCACCACUACCCGAGGUUAACCGAUCAAAGAAAUUACCAAGUGAACCAAACGCUAAGGUAGUAAUUCAAAAGAUGUAGUUGUAACUAGUAGAGAAAACCAAAAAGAACAGUGCUAUGAAAGAUAGAAAACCCUGGAGAAAGUAAACAAGUCCUGGUUGGUCUGCCAAUAAGCUAAAACCAACCCCCUUGUUACCGAUAACAUAGAUACUAAUAAAGGAACUGCGAGCUACAUCUGUACCAUUAGCACCAUUAAUACCCUUCUCACCAUUUAAGGCAGCACGCAGCAUAAAUACCUGAAACAAAAUGACAAAACCGACAAACAGGAUUAAGGCAAGCUUAUAGUACAAAAAGGGUUUGCGGUUAGCAAAAAGGAUUUGCUUUAGCAAUUUUGAAAAAAAAGUUGGGGCUUUUGCCAUCUUGAUGAGCUUAAUUUUAAAAAUGUAAAAUA